AUACGAAGGGUGCAAGCGUUAAUCGGAAUUACUGGGCGUAAAGCGCGCGUAGGUGGUUCGUUAAGUUGGAUGUGAAAGCCCCGGGCUCAACCUGGGAACUGCAUCCAAAACUGGCGAGCUAGAGUAUAGCAGAGGGUGGUGGAAUUUCCUGUGUAGCGGUGAAAUGCGUAGAUAUAGGAAGGAACACCAGUGGCGAAGGCGACCACCGGGGCUAAUACUGACACGGAGGUGCGAAAGCGUGGGGAGCAAACAGGAUUAGAUACCCUGGUAGUCCACGCCGUAAACGAUGUCGACUAGCCGUUGGGAUCCUUGAGAUCUUAGUGGCGCAGCUAACGCAUUAAGUCGACCGCCUGGGGAGUACGGCCGCAAGGUUAAAACUCAAAUGAAUUGACGGGG
This 396-nucleotide ribosomal RNA is filed under the name uncultured bacterium. Its description in RNAcentral is "partial 16S ribosomal RNA". It matches the Rfam family "Bacterial small subunit ribosomal RNA", at positions 523 to 918 of the family's 1533-position model. The record is from RNAcentral.